Molecule: ribosomal RNA, 491 nt
Filed under: uncultured bacterium
Lineage: Bacteria
Description: partial 16S ribosomal RNA
Rfam family: Bacterial small subunit ribosomal RNA
Source: RNAcentral
GUGAACGCUGGCGGUAGGCCUAACACCUGCAAGUCGAACGGCAGCACCGUAAGCGCUUGCUCUUACGGGUGGCGCGAGGCGGACGGGUGAGGAAUACAUCGGAAUCUACUUUUUCGUGGGGGAUCACGUAGGGAAACUUACGCUAAUACCGCAUACGACCUACGGGUGAAAGCAGGGGAUCUUCGGACCUUGCGCGAUUAAAUGAGCCGAUGUCGGAUUAGCUAGUUGGCGGGGUAAAGGCCAACCAAGGCGACGAUCCGUAGCUGGUCUGAGAGGAUGAUCGGCCACACUGGAACUGAGACACGGUCCAGACUCCUACGGGAGGCAGCAGUGGGGAAUAUUGGACAAUGGGCGCAAGCCUGAUCCAGCCAUACCGCGUGUGUGAAGAAGGCGUUCGGGUUGUAAAGCCCUUUUGUUGGGAAAGAAAAGCAGCAGGUUAAUACCCCGCUGUUCUGACGGUACCCAAAGAAUAAGCACCGGCUAACUUCGUG